AUUGAACGCUGGCGGCAGGCUUAACACAUGCAAGUCGAGCGGGGGAAGGUAGCUUGCUACUGGACCUAGCGGCGGACGGGUGAGUAAUGCUUAGGAAUCUGCCUAUUAGUGGGGGACAACAUCUCGAAAGGGAUGCUAAUACCGCAUACGUCCUACGGGAGAAAGCAGGGGAUCUUCGGACCUUGCGCUAAUAGAUGAGCCUAAGUCGGAUUAGCUAGUUGGUGGGGUAAAGGCCUACCAAGGCGACGAUCUGUAGCGGGUCUGAGAGGAUGAUCCGCCACACUGGGACUGAAACAAGGCCCAGACUCCUACGGGAGGCAGCAGUGGGGAAUAUUGGACAAUGGGGGGAACCCUAAUCCAGCCAUGCCGCGUGUGUGAAGAAGGCCUUAUGGUUGUAAAGCACUUUAAGCGAGGAGGAGGCUACUUUAGUUAAUACCUAGAGAUAGUGGACGUUACUCGCAGAAUAAGCACCGGCUAACUCUGUGCCAGCCGCCGCGGUAA
Molecule: ribosomal RNA, 501 nt
Filed under: uncultured bacterium
Lineage: Bacteria
Description: partial 16S ribosomal RNA
Rfam family: Bacterial small subunit ribosomal RNA
Source: RNAcentral